ACCCGCUGAACUUAAGCAUAUCAAUAAGCGGAGGAAAAGAAACCAACAGGGAUUGCCCCAGUAACGGCGAGUGAAGCGGCAACAGCUCAAAUUUGAAAUCUGGUCCCCCCCCGCGGGGGCCCGAGUUGUAAUUUGAAGAGGAUGCUUCUGGCGAGGUGCCGUCCGAGUUCCCUGGAACGGGACGCCAUAGAGGGUGAGAGCCCCGUACGGUCGGACGCCGAGCCUCUGUGAAGCUCCUUCGACGAGUCGAGUAGUUUGGGAAUGCUGCUCAAAAUGGGAGGUAAACCCCUUCUAAAGCUAAAUACCGGCCAGAGACCGAUAGCGCACAAGUAGAGUGAUCGAAAGAUGAAAAGCACUUUGAAAAGAGAGUUAAAAAGCACGUGAAAUUGUUGAAAGGGAAGCGCUUGCGACCAGACUCGCGCCCGUCGGAUCAGCCGUCGCUUGCGGCGGCGCACUCCGGCGGGCUCGGGCCAGCAUCGGUUCGCCUCGGGGGGAGAAAGGCGGCGGGAAUGUGGCUCUACGGAGUGUUAUAGCCCGCCGCGCAAUACCCCCGGGCGGACCGAGGACCGCGCGUAUGCAAGGAUGCUGGCGUAAUGGUCGUCAGCGACCCGUCUUGAAACACGGACCAAGGAGUCGUCCUAAUAUGCGAGUGUUCGGGUGUCAAACCCCUGCGCGUAAUGAAAGUGAACGGAGGUGAGAGCUUCGGCGCAUCAUCGACCGAUCCUGAUGUUCUCGGAUGGAUUUGAGUAAGAGCAUAUUGGGCCGGACCCGAAAGAAGGUGAACUAUGCCUGUAUAGGGUAAAGCCAGAGGAAACUCUGGUGGAGGCUCGCAGCGGUUCUGACGUGCAAAUCGAUCGUCAAAUAUGGGCAUGGGGGCGAAAGACUAAUCSAACCUUCUAGUAGCUGGUUUCCGCCGAAGUUCCCUCAGGA
This 930-nucleotide small RNA is filed under the name Microascus chinensis. RNAcentral describes it as "eukaryotic LSU rRNA". It matches the Rfam family "Eukaryotic large subunit ribosomal RNA", at positions 23 to 978 of the family's 3401-position model. The record is from RNAcentral. Lineage: Eukaryota; Fungi; Ascomycota; Sordariomycetes; Microascales; Microascaceae.